Molecule: ribosomal RNA, 1346 nt
Filed under: uncultured bacterium
Lineage: Bacteria
Description: bacterial SSU rRNA
Rfam family: Bacterial small subunit ribosomal RNA
Source: RNAcentral
GACGAACGCUGGCGGCGUGCUUAACACAUGCAAGUCGAACGGAAAGGCCCUGCUUUUGUGGGGUGCUCGAGUGGCGAACGGGUGAGUAACACGUGAGUAACCUGCCCUUGACUUUGGGAUAACUUCAGGAAACUGGGGCUAAUACCGGAUAGGAGCUCCUGCUGCAUGGUGGGGGUUGGAAAGUUUCGGCGGUUGGGGAUGGACUCGCGGCUUAUCAGCUUGUUGGUGGGGUAGUGGCUUACCAAGGCUUUGACGGGUAGCCGGCCUGAGAGGGUGACCGGCCACAUUGGGACUGAGAUACGGCCCAGACUCCUACGGGAGGCAGCAGUGGGGAAUAUUGCACAAUGGGCGGAAGCCUGAUGCAGCAACGCCGCGUGCGGGAUGACGGCCUUCGGGUUGUAAACCGCUUUCGCCUGUGACGAAGCGUGAGUGACGGUAAUGGGUAAAGAAGCACCGGCUAACUACGUGCCAGCAGCCGCGGUGAUACGUAGGGUGCGAGCGUUGUCCGGAUUUAUUGGGCGUAAAGGGCUCGUAGGUGGUUGAUCGCGUCGGAAGUGUAAUCUUGGGGCUUAACCCUGAGCGUGCCUUCGAUACGGGUUGACUUGAGGAAUUUAGGGGAGAAUGGAAUUCCUGGUGGAGCGGUGGAAUGCGCAGAUAUCAGGAGGAACACCAGUGGCGAAGGCGGUUCUCUGGGCCUUUCCUGACGCUGAGGAGCGAAAGCGUGGGGAGCGAACAGGCUUAGAUACCCUGGUAGUCCACGCUGUAAACGGUGGGUACUAGGUGUGGGGUCCAUUCCACGGGUUCCGUGCCGUAGCUAACGCUUUAAGUACCCCGCCUGGGGAGUACGGCCGCAAGGCUAAAACUCAAAGGAAUUGACGGGGCCCCGCACAAGCGGCGGAGCAUGCGGAUUAAUUCGAUGCAACGCGUAGAACCUUACCUGGGUUUGACAUGGAUCGGGAGUGCUCAGAGAUGGGUGUGCCUCUUUUGGGGUCGGUUCACAGGUGGUGCAUGCCUGUCGUCAGCUCGUGUCGUGAGAUGUUGGGUUAAGUCCCGCAACGAGCGCAACCCUUGUUCACUGUUGCCAGCACGUUAUGGUGGGGACUCAGUGGAGACCGCCGGGGUCAACUCGGAGGAAGGUGGGGAUGACGUCAAGUCCUCAUGCCCCUUAUGUCCAGGGCUUCACGCAUGCUACAAUGGCUGGUACAGAGAGUGGCGAGCCUGUGAGGGUGAGCGAAUCUCGGAAAGCCGGUCUCAGUUCGGAUUGGGGUCUGCAACUCGACCUCAUGAAGUCGGAGUCGCUAGUAAUCGCAGAUCAGCAACGCUGCGGUGAAUACGUUCCCGGGGCU